Molecule: ribosomal RNA, 515 nt
Filed under: uncultured bacterium
Lineage: Bacteria
Description: partial 16S ribosomal RNA
Rfam family: Bacterial small subunit ribosomal RNA
Source: RNAcentral
GAUGAACGCUGGCGGCGUGCCUAAUACAUGCAAGUCGAGCGAAUGGAUUAAGAGCUUGCUCUUAUGAAGUUAGCAGCGGACGGGUGAGUAACACGUGGGUAACCUGCCCAUAAGACUGGGAUAACUCCGGGAAACCGGGGCUAAUACCGGAUAACAUUUUGAACCGCAUGGUUCGAAAUUGAAAGGCGGCUUCGGCUGUCACUUAUGGAUGGACCCGCGUCGCAUUAGCUAGUUGGUGAGGUAACGGCUCACCAAGGCAACGAUGCGUAGCCGACCUGGGAGGUGGAUCGGCCACACUGGGACUGAGACACGGCCCAGACUCCUACGGGAGGCAGCAGUAGGGAAUCUUCCGCAAUGGACGAAAGUCUGACGGAGCAACGCCGCGUGAGUGAUGAAGGCUUUCGGGUCGUAAAACUCUGUUGUUAGGGAAGAACAAGUGCUAGUUGAAUAAGCUGGCACCUUGACGGUACCUAACCAGAAAGCCACGGCUAACUACGUGCCAGCCGCCGCAGUAA